RNAcentral lists this ribosomal RNA (253 nucleotides) under uncultured bacterium. RNAcentral describes it as "partial 16S ribosomal RNA". It matches the Rfam family "Bacterial small subunit ribosomal RNA", at positions 524 to 776 of the family's 1533-position model. The record is from RNAcentral.
GACGAACCGUGCGAACGUUGUUCGGAAUCACUGGGCUUAAAGGGCGCGUAGGCGGCUUGCCAAGUCGGGGGUGAAAUCCGGCAGCUUAACUGUCGAAGUGCCUUCGAUACUGGCAAGCUAGAGGGAGGUAGGGGUCUGUGGAACUUCUGGUGGAGCGGUGAAAUGCGUUGAUAUCAGAAGGAACGCCGGUGGGGAAAGCGACGGACUGGAUCUCUUCUGACGCUGAGGCGCGAAAGCUAGGGGAGCAAACGGG